AAAGGGUUGUACGAGACACUACCCAUGCGUGCGAAAAAGAGCUAGUAAACGACACAAGUUUCGGGGGGUUUGUACAGCUAUUGGGCAAGACCAGUAAUGACUGUUUGCAGCUUACAGCCCUAGCUGAGAGGUGGUGGUAUACCACAAACACCCUGCACUUGCCAUUCGGAGAGGCCACACUGACACCCGUGGACUUUGCAGCGAUUACCGGAAUACGGGUUGAGGGAAAUUCAAUUCUGUUUGAUAUGGGGCUUUACAAGAAUAAGGUUGCUUUGGUCUACUUUUUCGGUCAAGUGCCUGAUAUGACCGACUCAGGUAUAUAGUGCAUUAUGUUUGGUUAUACACGACCUUUAAAAAUCAUACAUGCGUGACAUAGAGGAUUACGAGCACGUGACUCAAACUUUCCUACGGUACUUGUUUGGGGCCGCACUGUUUCCAACUAAGAAUAGUCAGGUUCACUUGCACAAUUUGGCGGGGACGAAGGAUUUGUCUACUGUCAGUGACUAUGAUUAGGGAGAUGUUGCAAUUGUCACACUUUAUAGCCAAAUGCCAUCUCUGGGGGAUGACACUUAGCAUGAGGGACAAUGGUGGGCUUGAGAGGUAUUGGCUUCAUUCCGGUUGAUUUUGCUUGUUUUCGCCUUUCAUUUACUCAUUUAUAAUCAUUAUCAACUUAACGGUUUGUAUCAAUGUUUUAUAUGGAGUUUCGAGUUCUUGAGGAUGCACGUUCCAAAAAACAAUUACGUGGACCAUCCCCCAAGGUUUGAUGUGAGCAUGAAACUCUAGGGGUCAGAAGGACUUGACGGCAUACCGUCUUUUCUAAGACUAGUUUACGAACGAAUAGGUAGACUUAUUUUUGUUUGGUUUCAUCGAAUCUUUCAAACUUCAAAGCUAUCUUCUUUAUUGUUCUUUGACAUUAGCUGUAGGGGAAUUGGGAUGUAUGGGUGAGAGUCGAUCCAGUGGUACAAGCUGAUUGGUUGAGGGAGUAGACGGGCCAUUGGUAGGAAGAUUUUGUUGGAGGGACCAUUUUGCAAACAGCGGAACCUGGGGGAGAGAGUGGUGAGGUAGUACUUGGGCUAUGACGUUUUCAAAGUGCCGAAGCCCGUUCUUUUUUCCAUGCUUAACAUGAGGAGCUUGACAAUAGGGGAAGUGGGGCAAUGGAUUGAGGGCAAGUUCUGCUUUUUCUGUGCUUAACAUGUGAAACUCAAUGUAUAGUCUGGCCGAAAGUAUUUAAGGUAAGACGUUUUAUGCUUUUUAGAUUUAGAGCUUUUUUAUGCAUGAUGGAGAGUGCUUGGGCAUUUUAAAUGGCCCGAGUAACUUUAUCAUAUACUAAACAUUAAAUUGUGUUAUUCCGAGUUGGAAAUUAUCGGAGUUUUCCAUUGUAUUGCUCUUUGUUGACUAGCUUAUGUAUUGUUUAUGUUUGAAAUUGAUGAGGAAUUAUGUUGAUCAUCAUUUCAUUUUCCUCUUUUGGUUCGAAUUCUCUUGUGAAAGUAGAUUUCCCUUAAAGUUUCCCUCGUAUUCUUUAGGAAAAGGAGAAAUGAGACAACGGUUCCCUUGACGGUUGUAUUUGAUGCAAAUAGCACAAUAACUAUAGUCCUGUUAACUUCCGGUAAAAUUGUCUUCGAGAUAAUCUAAUUUGUUUGAUUAGGAUCACGAAGUUUGUUUAGAAUAUUUUCUUCUGUUUCUUUUUUUGUUUUUCCUUUGCUCUGAAAUGCAGUUUUAUUUGUUAUACACCUUUGUAAAUUCUGUUUAUUCCGGAAAUGCUACGAUUUGCAUGGUCCUAUUUCUCUACGGGUCAGUUCGUUGGGACUCCACAGAAAGAGGAUUAUUUCCUUUGUGCAAAACUCUCCUGAUGCAGCUAGAGCUUGGGUAUCAACUUUACAGUAAGUUACAAGGAAGCUUGCCUUGGUAAAGUGCUUCAAUUGGUGGUUAGUCUAUUUUGACGUUGAGAGACGAAUUUGACUCUAUUCAUCUCAUGAUUUCUUCCUUUUGAAACAUGCUUUUACUUGUCGAAGUACUUGUACAUGCAUUUGGAAUGUAGUCCUAUCUAGGUAAUUCAUAAUGGCCCUACUCAGGGAUACACUUUUUGUAUCUUUGACAACGUUUACAGAAAUGGGAAUUUGGCAUUCCAUAUGUUUUUUCUUGUGAUGACUGAUGAACACCAUCUUAUCUUAAAAGGGCAACGCCAGUGAAAUUAUCAUUUAAACCUUUUCCUUUUAAGUUUCCAUCUAUUAACGGAAAUAAUAGUUGGGAAUAAGAAGCCUUUACUGUUAAUGUUUGUGCGACUUUGACCUUUUGCAUUUAGAUGUCACUUGAAGCAGACUAUACUGUCGUCUUUAUUCCAGAUUUUCCAAUUUCAUAGUCUCAUAUUUAAAGCAACGAAUUGUACAUUAUUGCUUCAAAAUUUCUAGGUUUUUUUUUAUUAUGCCACAGAUUCUAAAAUGUCUUACAGGAAUUCCUAAUUUAUGGGUGAAUACCGUCUAGCCUGGUAUGAGGUGUGUCUGCUCCUAUGCUGUUUAAGAUGUUGGGUGUUCCUUUUAUAUAUGAGAUAGAGCUUUCUAUGCUCAGUUGCCUUUAUCUAUGCCUUCAUUUUGAACACAUAUUGACUUCUUUGGAAGAGUAGCAACCUAGAAAACUCCUUUACUUGUAAAUUGUGAUAAUUAACAUUAUCUAACGGCUAUCGUUUGUUGUGUUCUUUCUGAAAAAUCAGUGCUACACAGUUGGUUCUUAAGCCACAUAAAGAGGCUGUGAAUUCUUUAAGUAAGAAUGGUUUUGCAACCAUAGUUGCUGCUGCCCCAGGAAGCUUCUAAAGAAAUUGAGGCUGCAAUGUAGAUUGUCCCGAGUAAUGCUCUUGGAUGGAUUAUGAGUAGAUCAAACUGAUGGUCCCAUGGAUGAUUUCAGGAUGAUAAAGGCAGACAAUGUUACCUCCUCUCUAUGAAUAGAUCUAAACUUUAUGUAUUUCUGAAAGUAGUACUCUAGGCGUUCCCGAUUCUUAGUUCCUUUGGGGAAAUUCAACAAAGGGCACAUAAUCAUUGCACUCUAUAAAUGGAAAACUUUGCUUAAAUUGUUAACUUAAAUUGUAAUUCUUAGUUUCUAGUUGGACUUGUGUAGUCAACUUAAAUUGUUUGGUCUUUUCUUUGCGUUCCUUGUGUUCUUUUGUAAAUGGGUGGUAUGCCCUUGAUGCCUUAUCAAUUCUAUUUGGGCUUUUCUUCAUGUUCCUCGCGUUCUCUAUGUUCAUGAUGUAUUGAAAGGUGAUCAAUUCAAAAUUCUUCAGCAAGAAAUAUUAGUACAGGUUUCUAGUGAUCAUUGUUCAUAUAAUUAUUAAACUCGGGUGGGCUUGCUUAAGCCUGUAAAUGUUGAGAGCUUGGUACGGCUUCUUCAUAAACCAAAUGUUUUGCUUGUCUAGGCUAUGCAUAUGCUAGGCUUCUUCAUAAUACAUUGCACAUGUCACUUUGCCCUCCUUACAUUUUCGUAGUGGUAAUUGAUUCACCUUUGUUUUCUUUUUUGUCUCAUUAGUUUGCCUAGGAGACAUUACGAGUCAAGGACAAAAAACUACAAUACUUGAGAGGGUCCUUUGCACGCUGAAUUCAACAAUAAAAGAGAUUGCAGAAAAAUUAGCUGAUAACUGCUGGAGCGGUUGAAGCUGCAGCAUCAGCUGCUCAUACUAUGGAUGAACAAAGGAAACUUGCUUGUGAGAUUGAGCGCUAAGCAAAGAUUCAGAAAAAAACAGUUUGCGUCAUCCUAGUUGAAGUUUAAAGAGUCUCAAGAAAAGGCUAUGGUUCUAAGUAAAGAAAAAAGAUCAACUAAUUAAGCAGGGGGAAUCUGCCCUUCAAGAAGAACAUUUAUGGCGUUCUGAGCUCGCAAAAGCUAGAUAGCAGGAUGUAAUAUUGGAAGGAGCUGUUGUUAGGGCUAAGGAGAAGGUCAGCAUUGCAAAGGCGGAUGCUGAAGCUAGAACAAUGGAAGCUCCACAAAAUGAGGCAGCAGCUUUAAAGGAGAAACAAGAGCUUCUUGCGUAUGUGAAAGUGUUACGAGCACAACUUAGAAGGCAACAUGUUGAUACAAAGCAAGUUUUUUUAGGAGAAGACGAGUCCUGUUCAGAAGACGGUAAUGCUCCACGGUAGACCCGUCAGAGGAGACUGUGGACAAGUCAUGUCUAAGUGUUUCCAUAGCAAUCCCAGUGUCCGGGAAAUUGUAGUUCAUAUGGCGGUGGAUCAAAUUAAUCUCGGCCCUCCAAUUGGAGACGGCGAAUGGAGUGAUAUUCAAGCGACAAAGGCAAAAAUAGCUGAUGCAAGAGAAAUUUCGCUAGAAGCAGAAGGGAAGCUUGGACAUACCUGUGCUCGGCCCACCAGUUAACAGUAACCAAUGUUUUCAGGCAUUUCUUGGUAUGAUAUGAAAAAUCGAUGCGACCAUUCUUGCAAAAGGCGUCCUCUGAUUACUUGUAAUCUUUUAGCACCCUUCUGAAAUCUUUUAGCAAUCUUAGAUCAUUUCAUAGUUUCCCUUGGAGAUCCUCUACUGCCAUAUCCUUGGCUGGCCCUAUACCCAACAGGGGUGGUGGCCAACUCUCACAGUCUGUGUCGUAAAGUCUACUAGUGUAUGUGCUCAUGUCGUGAUUUUGGUAGUUUUGGUUAUUUUUGUAUGUUGCAAUGGAAUCUUUGUAAUGCUUCCGGGCUUUGAAAAUGAAAUUGAUGGUUGAAAAAAAAUAUUAUGCCAUUCAUGAUC
Molecule: long non-coding RNA, 4716 nt
Organism: Rhododendron vialii
Lineage: Eukaryota; Viridiplantae; Streptophyta; Magnoliopsida; Ericales; Ericaceae
Exons: 3
Source: RefSeq, a predicted model, not a curated record